CCUACGGGACGCAGCAGUGGGGAAUAUUGCACAAUGGGGGAAACCCUGAUGCAGCGACGCCGCGUGAGCGAAGAAGUAUCUCGGUAUGUAAAGCUCUAUCAGCAGGGAAGAAAAUGACGGUACCUGACUAAGAAGCCCCGGCUAACUACGUGCCAGCAGCCGCGGUAAUACGUAGGGGGCAAGCGUUAUCCGGAUUUACUGGGUGUAAAGGGAGCGCAGGCGGCGCGGUAAGUCUGAUGUGAAAGCCCAGGGCUCAACCCUGGGACUGCUUUGGAAACUGUGGAGCUAGAGUGCUGGAGAGGGAA
Molecule: ribosomal RNA, 305 nt
Filed under: uncultured bacterium
Lineage: Bacteria
Description: bacterial SSU rRNA
Rfam family: Bacterial small subunit ribosomal RNA
Source: RNAcentral